AGCAGCAGCCGCGGGAAAACGGAGGGUGCAAGCGUUAAUCGGAAUUACUGGGCGUAAAGCGCACGCAGGCGGUUUGUUAAGUCAGAUGUGAAAUCCCCGAGCUUAACUUGGGAACCGCAUUUGAAACUGGCAAGCUAGAGUCUUGUAGAGGGGGGUAGAACUCCAGGUGUAGCGGUGAAAUGCGUAGAGAUCUGGAGGAAUACCGGUGGCGAAGGCGGCCCCCUGGACAAAGACUGACGCUCAGGUGCGAAAGCGUGGGGAGCAAACAGGAUUAGAUACCCGCGUAGUCCCUGUCUCUUAUAC
This 303-nucleotide ribosomal RNA is filed under the name uncultured bacterium. RNAcentral's name for it is "partial 16S ribosomal RNA". It matches the Rfam family "Bacterial small subunit ribosomal RNA", at positions 507 to 807 of the family's 1533-position model. The record is from RNAcentral.